GAUUUUGUUCUUUGAAAACUAGAUAUUGAUUUAUUUCUUAAAAAUAAACCGAGAACACCGCGUUUUAAAGAGUUUAAAACAAGAAUUAUAGUUCUUAAUCGCUAAACUCAUAACCUAUUAUCGUUAGAUAAUAUUAGGUUAAGUUAUUAAGGGCGUAUGGUGGAUGCCUUGGCACUAGGAGCCGAUGAAGGACGUGACUAACUGCGAUAUGCUUCGGGGAGUUGUAAGUAAACUAUGAUCCGGAGAUUUCCGAAUGGGGAAACCUAACAGGUUUUACCGCCUGUUAUCACUAAGUGAAUUCAUAGCUUAGUUGAAGGUAGACGUGGGGAACUGAAACAUCUAAGUACCCACAGGAAGAGAAAGAAAUUCGAUUCCCUCAGUAGCGGCGAGCGAACCGGGAAGAGCCCAAACUAAGAAGCUUGCUUCUUAGGGUUGUAGGACUGAACA
This 447-nucleotide ribosomal RNA is filed under the name Ligilactobacillus salivarius DSM 20555 = ATCC 11741. RNAcentral describes it as "Lactobacillus salivarius DSM 20555 = ATCC 11741 16S ribosomal RNA". The stretch from base 137 to 447 matches the Rfam family "Bacterial large subunit ribosomal RNA", at positions 1 to 312 of the family's 2925-position model. The record is from RNAcentral. Lineage: Bacteria; Bacillati; Bacillota; Bacilli; Lactobacillales; Lactobacillaceae.